AACGAACGCUGGCGGCAUGCCUAACACAUGCAAGUCGAACGAGACCUUCGGGUCUAGUGGCGCACGGGUGCGUAACGCGUGGGAACCUGCCCUUAGGUUCGGAAUAACUCCCCGAAAGGGGUGCUAAUACCGGAUAAUGUCUUCGGACCAAAGAUUUAUCGCCUUUGGAUGGGCCCGCGUUGGAUUAGCUAGUUGGUAGGGUAAAAGCCUACCAAGGCGACGAUCCAUAGCUGGUCUGAGAGGAUGAUCAGCCACACUGGGACUGAGACACGGCCCAGACUCCUACGGGAGGCAGCAGUGGGGAAUAUUGGACAAUGGGCGAAAGCCUGAUCCAGCAAGGCCGCGUGAGUGAUGAAGGCCUUAGGGUUGUAAAGCUCUUUUACCCGGGAUGAUAAGGACAGUACCGGGAGAAGAAGCUCCGGCUAACUCCGU
RNAcentral lists this ribosomal RNA (432 nucleotides) under uncultured bacterium. Its description in RNAcentral is "partial 16S ribosomal RNA". It matches the Rfam family "Bacterial small subunit ribosomal RNA", at positions 29 to 506 of the family's 1533-position model. The record is from RNAcentral.